GAUGAACGCUAGCGGCAGGCCUAAUACAUGCAAGCCCAGGGCUGUUUGGUGUAGCAAUACAUCAAACAACCGGCGGACGGGUGCGUAACGCGUAUGCAACCUACCCUAUACAGGAGGAUAGCCCUCGGAAACGAGGAUUAAUACUCCAUAAGAUUGCUUAGAGGCAUCUUUACGCAAUUAAAGCCGCAAGGCGGUAUAGGAUGGGCGUGCGUCGGAUUAGCUAGUUGGUGAGGUAACGGCUCACCACGGCGAUGAUCGGUAGGGGGGCUGAGAGGACGAUAAGCCACACCAGGGGUGAGACACGGCCCAGACCACUAAGGGAGGCAGCAGAGGGGAAGGGAGGACAAGGGGGGGAACACUGGCCCAGCCAUGCCGCGCGCGGGAAGAAGGCCUGCGGGUUGGAAUCAUAAUUUGUUUGGGAAGAAAAAAAAUGGGCGAAUACCGCGGGGGGAUGAUGGUACCGGAAGAAUAAGCACCGGCUAACUACGUG
RNAcentral lists this ribosomal RNA (490 nucleotides) under uncultured bacterium. RNAcentral describes it as "partial 16S ribosomal RNA". It matches the Rfam family "Bacterial small subunit ribosomal RNA", at positions 28 to 507 of the family's 1533-position model. The record is from RNAcentral.